RNAcentral lists this ribosomal RNA (251 nucleotides) under uncultured prokaryote. RNAcentral describes it as "partial 16S rRNA". It matches the Rfam family "Bacterial small subunit ribosomal RNA", at positions 525 to 775 of the family's 1533-position model. The record is from RNAcentral.
ACGGAGGAUCCAAGCGUUAUCCGGAUUUAUUGGGUUUAAAGGGUGCGCAGGCGGAUCAAUAAGUCAGGGGUGAAAAAUUUCAGCUUAACUGGAAUCGUGCCUUUGAUACUGUUGGACUAGAGUAUAAUUGACGUGACUGGAAUGUGAUGUGUAGGAGUGAAAUGCUUUAAUCCUUGGGGGACCACCUGUGGUGGAGGCGGCUCACCAGGUUGGGUCCGACAUUGAGGAACGAAAGCUGGGGGAUCAAACUU